AGUUCUCAUUUUGUGUGCUCGGCUGACUGCACGUCCAGCCUCGGGCCAGCUCGAGACGGCCACAUUGUGAGUCUGUGGGAGGGGUUCUACCGAGACGAAUGGACUUUUCUGAGGCAGGGCCCAGGAGCUGUAAUUCGAGGGGCCUCAGAUCUCCCUGCCACCCACCUGCCAGGGCCUGGUUGAAGAUGGCUGAGCGUAAAACAGAAUGCAAGUCAGCUGGAGCACGUACUACUGGAGGCAGAGCCCCAUGAGAAGGGGCCAAGAACCCGCACCCAUCAAAAUCAAGAAGAAAGGCUGAACCCGGAGAGAAAAGGGAGAAGCAGUCUGUUCCCUGGACAUGCUCCUCUCUCUCAGUCCUCAGGUGGUGCCAGUUGGUGGGGGAGAAUGUUCCUGGCAUGUGGACUUGAAUCUGGCAGCAACUGAUGUUGCCAUGCAGAUCCCUUGGUUGCUAUGAGAUGGUAACAUCACUCUGCCCCACCAUUGGCCAGUGCCUCCUCAGCUGCGGUGCCUCCCAGGCUGUGUGGUUCUCACGCGGGCCACUGACACAGAGCUGUUACUAUGGUGAACUUUACAAUUUCCUUUGAUUGGUGGAUUUCAGAAAUAGGCCAUCAGCGGAAUUCAUUAUAUUCAGCUAAGUAAAAAUGAAAAAUAAAUACUAUAACUUUCCCCUCAUCACUAACAUGAAGGAAACGUGACCCUUCAUGACAUAAUAAAUCGCUGUUCGGUAACUUAGGAUCCUUCAGGGGACUGAAGCGGGAUGAUCCUCCUAUGCCAAAUUUGGGUGGGAAAGAUAUUCCCUGUAGCUUUGAGUCGACUCUUCAGAGUUAAGGGCAGUGGGCCAACCAGAGUUGGAACUUCAGAGUUGGGAGGAGGUGUGGGAUGGGGCAUGCAUUGAAAUGUAAACUCUAUUGUCUCUGAAGUGAUGGGUGAUGCUGGGGGCCUGAGUGUGGAGGGCAGUUUUACAUCUCAGGACAAUGUUUUCUCAGAUGCUCUUCCAGAAAGAAAAGCCAGGAGUACUCCUGGCUGGAGGCGGCAUGCCUGAGGUCAGAGUCAAAGUAGGGUUUGUGCUGUCUGAAUCCUUUCUCCCACUCUCCCCAGCCUGGCUCAGCUUCUCAGCUUCUCAGGUGGAUUGGUGAGUCCUGGCCAAUUACGCUUCAGCUCAUCUCUACUCUCAGCAAAUAGGAAAAGGGAGUGAAGGACUGAGUUUUAACUCUUCUAAUUUCGUAACCUGACUCUCUAUAAGAAAAAGUAGGAGAAAGACUGAAGAACCCGAGAGAACAGGCCUCUGAGCCCAAGCCAAGCCAUCGCAUCCCCUGUGACUUGCACGUAUACACCCAGAUGGCCUGAAGUAACUGAAGAAUCACAAAAGAAGUGAAUAUGCCUUGCCCCACCUUGACUGAUGACAUUCCACCACAAAAGAAGUGUAAAUGGCCGGUCCUUGCCUUAACUGAUGACAUUACCUUGUGAAAGUCCUUUUCCUGGCUCAUCCUGGCUCAAAAAGCACCCCCACUGAGCACCUUGCGACCCCCCACUCCUGCCCGCCAGAGAACAAACCCCCUUUGACUGUAAUUUUCCUUUACCUCCCCAAAUCCUAUAAAACGGCCCCACCCUUAUCUCCCUUUGCUGACUCUCUUUUCGGACUCAGCCCGCCUGCACCCAGGUGAUUAAAAGCUUUAUUGCUCA
RNAcentral lists this long non-coding RNA (1683 nucleotides) under Homo sapiens (human). RNAcentral's name for it is "novel transcript, antisense to PELI1". The record is from RNAcentral. Lineage: Eukaryota; Metazoa; Chordata; Mammalia; Primates; Hominidae.